This 247-nucleotide ribosomal RNA is filed under the name uncultured bacterium. Its description in RNAcentral is "partial 16S ribosomal RNA". It matches the Rfam family "Bacterial small subunit ribosomal RNA", at positions 523 to 769 of the family's 1533-position model. The record is from RNAcentral.
AUACAGAGGUCCCAAGCGUUGUUCGGAUUUACUGGGCGUAAAGGGUGCGUAGGCGGUCGGGUCAGUCUAAUGUGAAAUCUCCGAGCUCAACUCGGAAAGCGCAUCGGAUACUGCUCGGCUAGAGGAUUGGAGGGGGGACUGGAAUUCUCGGUGUAGCAGUGAAAUGCGUAGAUAUCGAGAGGAACACCAGUGGCGAAGGCGAGUCCCUGGACAAUUCCUGACGCUGAGGCACGAAAGCUAGGGGAGC